RNAcentral lists this ribosomal RNA (587 nucleotides) under uncultured bacterium. RNAcentral describes it as "partial 16S ribosomal RNA". It matches the Rfam family "Bacterial small subunit ribosomal RNA", at positions 355 to 1375 of the family's 1533-position model. The record is from RNAcentral.
UGGGGAAUUUUGGACAAUGGGCGAAAGCCUGAUCCAGCAAUGCCGCGUGUGUGAAGAAGGCCUUCGGGUUGUAAAGCACUUUUGUCCGGAAAGAAAAUCCUUGGCUCUAAUACAGUCGGGGGAUGACGGUACCGGAAGAAUAAGCACCGGCUAACUACGUGCCAGCAGCCGCGGUAAUACGUAGGGUGCAAGCGUUAAUCGGAAUUACUGGGCGUAAAGCGUGCGCAGGCGGUUUGCUAAGACCGAUGUGAAAUCCCCGGGCUCAACCUGGGAACUGCAUUGGUGACUGGCAGGCUAGAGUAUGGCAGAGGGGGGUAGAAUUCCACGUGUAGCAGUGAAAUGCGUAGAGAUGUGGAGGAAUACCGAUGGCGAAGGCAGCCCCCUGGGCCAAUACUGACGCUCAUGCACGAAAGCGUGGGGAGCAAACAGGAUUAGAUACCCUGGUAGUCCACGCCCUAAAACGAUGUCAACUAGUUGUUGGGGAUUCAUUUCCUUAGUAACGUAGCUAACGCGUGAAGUUGACCGCCUGGGGAGUACGGUCGCAAGAUUAAAACUCAAAUGAAUUGACGGGGUCAUAGCUGUUUCCU